This 415-nucleotide ribosomal RNA is filed under the name Sphingomonas sp. oral taxon F71. Its description in RNAcentral is "bacterial SSU rRNA". It matches the Rfam family "Bacterial small subunit ribosomal RNA", at positions 29 to 489 of the family's 1533-position model. Lineage: Bacteria; Pseudomonadati; Pseudomonadota; Alphaproteobacteria; Sphingomonadales; Sphingomonadaceae. The record is from RNAcentral.
AACGAACGCUGGCGGCAUGCCUAACACAUGCAAGUCGAACGAAGGCUUCGGCCUUAGUGGCGCACGGAUGCGUAACGCGUGGGAAUCUGCCCUUGGGUCUGGGAUAACGGCGGGAAACUGCCGCUAAUACCGGAUGAUAUCGCGAGAUCAAAGAUUUAUCGCCUGAGGAUGAGCCCGCGUAGGAUUAGGUAGUUGGUGUGGUAAAGGCGCACCAAGCCGACGAUCCUUAGCUGGUCUGAGAGGAUGAUCAGCCACACUGGGACUGAGACACGGCCCAGACUCCUACGGGAGGCAGCAGUGGGGAAUAUUGGACAAUGGGCGCAAGCCUGAUCCAGCAAUGCCGCGUGAGUGAUGAAGGCCUUAGGGUUGUAAAGCUCUUUUACCCGGGAAGAUAAUGACUGUACCGGGAGAAUAA